RNAcentral lists this ribosomal RNA (468 nucleotides) under uncultured bacterium. RNAcentral describes it as "partial 16S ribosomal RNA". It matches the Rfam family "Bacterial small subunit ribosomal RNA", at positions 28 to 507 of the family's 1533-position model. The record is from RNAcentral.
GACGAACGCUGGCGGCGUGCUUAACACAUGCAAGUCGAACGGAAAGGCCCUGCUUUUGUGGGGUGCUCGAGUGGCGAACGGGUGAGUAACACGUGAGUAACCUGCCCUUGACUUUGGGAUAACUUCAGGAAACUGGGGCUAAUACCGGAUAGGAGCUCCUGCUGCAUGGUGGGGGUUGGAAAGUUUCGGCGGUUGGGGAUGGACUCGCGGCUUAUCAGCUUGUUUGUGGGGUAGUGGCUUACCAAGGCAUUGACGGGUAGCCGGCCUGAGAGGGUGACCGGCCACAUUGGGACUGAGAUACGGCCCAGACUCCUACGGGAGGCAGCAGUGGGGAAUAGUGCACAAUGGGCGGAAGCCUGAUGCAGCAACGCCGCGUGCGGGAUGACGGCCUUCGGGUUGUAAACCGCUUUCGCCUGUGACGAAGCGAGAGUGACGGUAAUGGGUAAAGAAGCACCGGCUAACUACGUG